Molecule: ribosomal RNA, 467 nt
Filed under: uncultured bacterium
Lineage: Bacteria
Description: partial 16S ribosomal RNA
Rfam family: Bacterial small subunit ribosomal RNA
Source: RNAcentral
GACGAACGCUGGCGGCGUGCUUAACACAUGCAAGUCGAACGGAAAGGCCUCUUUCGGGGGGUACUCGAGUGGCGAACGGGUGAGUAACACGUGAGUAACCUGCCCUUGACUUUGGGAUAACUUCAGGAAACUGGGGCUAAUACCGGAUAGGAGCUCCUGCUGCCUGGUGGGGGUUGGAAAGUUUCGGCGGUUGGGGAUGGACUCGCGGCUUAUCAGCUUGUUGGUGGGGUAGUGGCUUACCAAGGCUUUGACGGGUAGCCGGCCUGAGAGGGUGACCGGCCACAUUGGGACUGAGAUACGGCCCAGACUCCUACGGGAGGCAGCAGUGGGGAAUAUUGCACAAUGGGUGGAAGCCUGAUGCAGCAACGCCGUGUGCGGGAGGACGGCCUUCGGGUUGUAAACCGCUUUCGCUCAUGACGAAGCUUUGUGUGACGGUAGUGGGUAAAGAAGCACCGGCUAACUACGUG